AAUCCCUAAUACUUUUUUUCAUUAUACCUAGGUAGUAGAUAUAACAACUAGAUAUUUAAUUUUGAUAUUAUCGUAGGCACAUAUAAAAGAAGAAACUGACUGAUGGAUUAAUCAACAUACAGUUUAUACCGUUGGGAUAUACCUUAAAAAAUAUUUUGAAAAUUCCACCCCUGUAGAGAUGAAAUAGGGAAUGAAAGUUUGUUUAAAAAUUCGCCAUUGUUAAAAUGCAUAAAAAGUUAAAAAUGAAAAUAGAUAGAUUAUCGGACAAUUGCAAAGCAGGGAGACACGUUUAUCGAAUUUCUUUUACAUUGAUUUCCGAUGUUGAAGUUUUGUGAAAAUUAUGUACAGUCUGUAUAAUAUGAACAAUGUAAGUAUUUAUGUAACAUUUAUAUAACAAAUUUUGUUUCUUGUCUUAUCAAGAUCUUUUAAUAGAAUACACGUUUUAUUUUUCGUUAAAUAUGUUCUUAUAUCUUAAUUUGAUUCAUUAAGUUAAGGCGUGUGAGCUUAAUUAGUAAUAAUUAAUGUGCGUAAGCCAGUAUUAGCGAGUCUGUAUACGUAUCAUAUCAUCAUGUAUGAGCUGUGAACACGAACACCUUGUAGCGUGUCGCAUCUCGAAUGUAUGUGUUGUCAAUCACAUUAGGGAACAAGAAAUUUACCUCCCUAUGGGAUGAAGAAUUACAAAGAACGGGUAUUAAAAUAUACUUAACCUAAUCUACUUAGUUACCUACCUACCACGAUUAAAGAUAUCUUUAAUCGUGCUACUUAAUCAUCAAUAUUCUAAUAAUUUAAUCUACCCAAGGAAAAUUUUAAUCACGAAUUAAUUUUAAC
Cinara cedri is the source of this 828-nucleotide non-coding RNA. NCBI's taxonomy places the organism in Eukaryota, Metazoa, Arthropoda, Insecta, Hemiptera, Aphididae. The record is from the annotation of a GenBank genome assembly.